GCAUCCUGUGAGUGCAAGCAUCGCGAGAGUGGGAAACUGGCGGCAAGAUUCAACAUGGCGGCGCCCAGUUGCUGAGAGAACAGCAAAUAAUAUGCAAAACUAAAAGCUCAAAAUACCAAAUUUAAGACAUUCUGAUUCAGACUGCACUCUGCAUCCACCCGCCACCACCAACCCGGAACAACACAUCACCGCAGAGGAGGAUAUAACCGAACUCGAAGCAUUCAUGGACUGAUAUUAGGCCACAACCUGCAGACCAAGGUGGACCCGGAAACAGCCAACACAAACAAACGCCGACGGACUCUUCUACCGACACAGAUGCUCUCCACACCUCUGAGGCCGGGUCACGGUGGCAACAGGUGGAGCAGAGCAUUCCAGACGUCCCUCUCCCCAGCAACGCUUUCCUGCUCCUCCUGGGGGACCCCAAGGUGUUCCCAGGCCAGAUGAGAUAUGUGACCCCUCCAGCGCGUUCUGGGUCUGCCAGGAGGACGUGCCCGGAUCACCUCAAGAGGGAGGCAUCCUGAUCAGAUGCUCGAAUAAUCUCAACUGGCCCCUUACGACGCGAAGCUCCCUAAAGCACAUCUGUGGCUUGGAGUCGGAUUGGGUGGACACACAUUGACAUGGACCCCUACGCUGAGUCUCCCCCUACCCAACCGUCAGGACAUCCUCCCAGACCAGCCUUACUGACGACAUCCCUCUUCCACCUUCACCCCACUGUCCCACUCACAUUCAUUCAUUUGUCCUUAAC
Long non-coding RNA from Plectropomus leopardus (leopard coralgrouper), 745 nucleotides. RefSeq lists it as uncharacterized. The record is from RefSeq and is a predicted model, not a curated record. NCBI's taxonomy places the organism in Eukaryota, Metazoa, Chordata, Actinopteri, Perciformes, Serranidae.